GACGAACGCUGGCGGCGUGCUUAACACGUGCAAGUCGAACGGAAAGGCCCUGCUUGCAGGGUGCUCGAGUGGCGAACGGGUGAGUAACACGUGGGUGAUCUGCCCCUUACUUUGGGAUAAGCCUGGGAAACUGGGUCUAAUACUGGAUAGGACCAUGCUGUAGGUGGUGUGGUGGAAAGAUUAGUUUCGGUAAGGGAUGAGCUCGCGGCCUAUCAGCUUGUUGGUGGGGUAAUGGCCUAGCAAGGCGUCGACGGGUAGCCGGCCUGAGAGGGUGGACGGCCCCAUUGAGACUGAGAUGCGGCCCAGACGCCUACGGGAGGCAGCAGUGGGGAAUAUUGCACAAUGGGCACACGCCUGAUGCAGCGACGCCGCGCGGGUGAUGACGGCCUUCGGGUUGUAAACUCCUUUCAGCCAUGACGAAGCCCUUGUGGUGACGGUAGUGGUAGAAGAAGCACCGGCUAACUACGUG
This 469-nucleotide ribosomal RNA is filed under the name uncultured bacterium. Its description in RNAcentral is "partial 16S ribosomal RNA". It matches the Rfam family "Bacterial small subunit ribosomal RNA", at positions 28 to 507 of the family's 1533-position model. The record is from RNAcentral.